RNAcentral lists this small RNA (631 nucleotides) under chicken gut metagenome. The record is from RNAcentral.
UAUAUACCAAUGGUGCAUUAUUCUAGUCGUACCAAAGUUUAUGAGGGUGGGGCUAAAAAUCCACUAAAGGGCACAUCUUUGAAGUUUCUUAAAUUUGCGCGAAAUGCCAGUUUUGUGUGAGUUUAGGGAGUAAAGAAAUUAGGGUAAUAUGUAAUGGCAUACAUAGGAUUCCCCCUAGUUUCGUGGAGACUUAAAUAUUAACAAAUUUAAGAAAAUAUUUUAAAUUGCAAAGAUAUUUUCAAAAUAAAUUUUACAUAUUUAAGUGUAACCUAUGUUGAGUGCCAAGACACAAAAUACAUAGUGUAGCCUGUCUCGAGUGAAUGUAUUGGGAUUAAUGGUGUAGAAUAAAAUAAAUUUUGGCCAAAUUUAUUUUAUUUAUGUUAUGAAAUUUUAUUUGCAAAAAAGACUAAUAAACUUGUAAGGUAUGUCAAGGAAAACUUCUAGAAUGUUUGCUGAAAGCAUAGAAGCCUAGGGAUUAAGGUACAGAUUUAAGUGGCGAUCUGGUGUCUAAUCAUAAUUAGAUAUUUUCCUUAAACGGAAACGGCUCAAGCAGUAAUGCUAAGCGGAAAAUAGAGAAAUUCGACCAGACCUAAACUGUAAAAUUUACUUAGGCUUUGACCAUUAGAUAAAU